RNAcentral lists this transfer RNA (76 nucleotides) under Actinomycetota bacterium. RNAcentral describes it as "tRNA-Lys". It matches the Rfam family "tRNA". From Rfam's summary of the family: Transfer RNA (tRNA) molecules are approximately 80 nucleotides in length. Their secondary structure includes four short double-helical elements and three loops (D, anti-codon, and T loops). RNAcentral also lists the same sequence under 1 other name. Lineage: Bacteria; Bacillati; Actinomycetota. The record is from RNAcentral.
GGGCCGUUAGCUCAGCUGGUAGAGCAGGUGACUCUUAAUCACAAGGUCAGGGGUUCGAUCCCCCUACGGCCUACCA